This 601-nucleotide ribosomal RNA is filed under the name Chitinophaga sp. VPMK49. RNAcentral's name for it is "bacterial SSU rRNA". It matches the Rfam family "Bacterial small subunit ribosomal RNA", at positions 224 to 822 of the family's 1533-position model. Lineage: Bacteria; Pseudomonadati; Bacteroidota; Chitinophagia; Chitinophagales; Chitinophagaceae. The record is from RNAcentral.
GAUGGGCGUGCGUCUGAUUAGGUAGUUGGUGAGGUAACGGCUCACCAAGCCGACGAUCAGUAACUGGCGUGAGAGCGCGACCAGUCACACGGGCACUGAGACACGGGCCCGACUCCUACGGGAGGCAGCAGUAAGGAAUAUUGGUCAAUGGACGCAAGUCUGAACCAGCCAUGCCGCGUGGAGGAUGAAGGCCCUCUGGGUUGUAAACUUCUUUUAUUUGGGACGAAACACUUUCUUUCUAGAGAGCUUGACGGUACCAGAUGAAUAAGCACCGGCUAACUCCGUGCCAGCAGCCGCGGUAAUACGGAGGGUGCAAGCGUUAUCCGGAUUCACUGGGUUUAAAGGGUGCGUAGGCGGAUAUGUAAGUCCGUGGUGAAAUCUCCGAGCUUAACUCGGAAACUGCCAUGGAUACUAUAUAUCUUGAAUGUUGUGGAGGUUAGCGGAAUAGUUCAUGUAGCGGUGAAAUGCUUAGAUAUGACCUAGAACACCGAUUGCGAAGGCAGCUGGCUACACAACGAUUGACGCUGAGGCACGAAAGCGUGGGGAUCAAACAGGAUUAGAUACCCUGGUAGUCCACGCCCUAAACGAUGAUUACUCGACA